GAUGAACGCUGGCGGCGUGCCUAAUACAUGCAAGUCGAGCGAACGGACGAGAAGCUUGCUUUUCUGAUGUUAGCGGCGGACGGGUGAGUAACACGUGGAUAACCUACCUAUAAGACUGGGAUAACUUCGGGAAACCGGAGCUAAUACCGGAUAAUAUUUUGAACCGCAUGGUUCAAAAGUGAAAGACGGUCUUGCUGUCACUUAUAGAUGGAUCCGCGCUGCAUUAGCUAGUUGGUAAGGUAACGGCUUACCAAGGCAACGAUGCAUAGCCGACCUGAGAGGGUGAUAGGCCACACUGGAACUGAGACACGGUCCAGACGCCUACGGGAGGCAGCAGUAGGGAAUCUUCCGCAAUGGGCGAAAGCCUGACGGAGCAACGCCGCGUGAGUGAUGAAGGUCUUCGGAUCGUAAAACUCUGUUAUUAGGGAAGAACAUAUGUGUAAGUAACUGUGCACAUCUUGACGGUACCUAAUCAGAAAGCCACGGCUAACUACGUG
This 497-nucleotide ribosomal RNA is filed under the name uncultured bacterium. RNAcentral describes it as "partial 16S ribosomal RNA". It matches the Rfam family "Bacterial small subunit ribosomal RNA", at positions 28 to 507 of the family's 1533-position model. The record is from RNAcentral.